This 253-nucleotide ribosomal RNA is filed under the name uncultured bacterium. RNAcentral's name for it is "partial 16S ribosomal RNA". It matches the Rfam family "Bacterial small subunit ribosomal RNA", at positions 524 to 776 of the family's 1533-position model. The record is from RNAcentral.
CACGUAGGGCGCAAGCGUUGUCCGGAAUUAUUGGGCGUAAAGAGCUCGUAGGCGGUCUGUCGCGUCGAAUGUGAAAACCCGGGGCUCAACCCCGGGCCUGCAUUCGAUACGGGCAGACUAGAGUUCGGUAGGGGAGUCUGGAAUUCCUGGUGUAGCGGUGAAAUGCGCAGAUAUCAGGAGGAACACCGGUGGCGAAGGCGGGACUCUGGGCCGAUACUGACGCUGAGGCGCGAAAGCGUGGGGAGCAAACAGG